GACGAACGCUGGCGGCAUGCUUAACACAUGCAAGUCGAACGAAGUGGCGAACGGGUGAGUAACGCGUAAUCAACCUGCCCUUCAGAGGGGGACAACAGUUGGAAACGACUGCUAAUACCGAAUACUGAAGGAGGGGAUUGUGUGGGAUUGGCUAGUUGGGGGGGUAACGGCCCACCAAGGCGAUGAUCAGUAGCCUGUCUGAAGGGAUUAACGGCCACAUUGGGAAUGGGAAACGGCCCAGACUCCUACGGGAGGGAGCAGUUGGGAAUCUUCCGCAAUGGACGGAAGUCUGACGGAGCAACGCCGCGUGAGUGAGGAAGGGCUUCGGGUUGUAAAGCUCUGUUAAUCGGGACGCGGUACCGGAAUAGAAAGCCACGGCUAACUACGUGCCAGCAGCCGCGGUAAUUC
This 408-nucleotide ribosomal RNA is filed under the name uncultured bacterium. RNAcentral describes it as "partial 16S ribosomal RNA". It matches the Rfam family "Bacterial small subunit ribosomal RNA", at positions 28 to 526 of the family's 1533-position model. The record is from RNAcentral.